UGUAAGCGUAUACCAAAGUUGUUGCAGUUAAAACGCUCGUAGUCGGAAUUUGGCAGUUCCGGAAGUGUGCACGUCGUGUGCGCACUUUGCGGGGACUGCUUUUGUGGUCUUGCGUAGGAUGAGGCACUUUCAUUAGUGAACGUCCUCACGCAACCACUCUUUACUGUGAGAAAAUCAGAGUGCUCAAAGCAGGCAUUUGCCGUGAAUGUAUUAGCAUGGAAUAAUAGAAUGGGACUCGGUUCUAUUUUGUUGGUUUGUUGGGACUGAGUAAUGAUUAAGAGGGACAGUUGGGGGCAUUUGUAUUCCGGCGCUAGAGGUGAAAUUCUUAGAUUGCCGGAAGACAAACUGCUGCGAAAGCGUCUGCCAAGGAUGUUUUCAUUGA
RNAcentral lists this ribosomal RNA (382 nucleotides) under uncultured eukaryote. RNAcentral describes it as "partial 18S ribosomal RNA". It matches the Rfam family "Eukaryotic small subunit ribosomal RNA", at positions 592 to 976 of the family's 1831-position model. The record is from RNAcentral.